Molecule: ribosomal RNA, 669 nt
Filed under: Phylloscopus pulcher
Lineage: Eukaryota; Metazoa; Chordata; Aves; Passeriformes; Phylloscopidae
Description: partial 16S ribosomal RNA
Rfam family: Bacterial large subunit ribosomal RNA
Source: RNAcentral
CCUAACUAAAGCAUUUACUAGUCCCAGUAUAGGCGAUAGAAAAGACACCAUUGGAGCGAUAGAGAUCACGUACCGUAAGGGAAAGAUGAAAUAGCAGUGAAAUAAAUAAGCUAAAAAAAGCAAAGAUCAACCCUUGUACCUUUUGCAUCAUGGUCUAGCAAGAAAAACCAAGCAAAAUGAAUUUAAGUUUGCCAUCCCGAAACCCAAGCGAGCUACUUACGAGCAGCUAUUAUUGAGCGAACCCGUCUCUGUUGCAAAAGAGUGGGAUGACUUGUUAGUAGAGGUGAAAAGCCAAUCGAGCUGGGUGAUAGCUGGUUGCCUGUGAAACGAAUCUUAGUUCACUCUUAAUUCUUCUCCAAGGAAACACCCAAACCCCAAUGAAGCGAAUUAAGGGCUAUUUAAAGGAGGUACAGCUCCUUUAAAAAAGAAUACAAUCUCUACGAGCGGAUAAAUAAUCAAAAGACAAAAUUACUGUGGGCCCUCAAGCAGCCAUCAACAAAGAGUGCGUUAAAGCUCUGUGCUCUAAAAAUACAAGAACCAUAUGACUCCCUCCCCAUUAACAGGCUAACCUAUGCCAAUAGGAGAAUUAAUGCUAGAAUGAGUAACCAGGGUUCUCCCUCUUCGACGCAAGCUUACAUCCGUACAUUAUUAACAAACCACCAUAUACGA